UUGAAGCCAAAAUCUUAGAAUCACUUUGCUGAUAUCGAUAAAACAAAACAAGCAUGCAAAAAAAGAAUAAAAUUUUUACUUUCACCAACAAGGAUGAAAUGGCACAUUGGUGUUCUCCAUGAGACUCCAAAGUAGAAGCCCUCCAACGGUGAUCCAUGCGGAAGUUAGCCAAGAUCUUUCCUAAUCGGUGCGCUGCAGCAGCCUUUUCUUCUCAAGAACACUACCGGCUUCGAACUCUAAGAACGAUCACACCAAAGCCCAGUUACUUUCGAUCUUGCCACCAGAAUGAUACCAAGA
Molecule: long non-coding RNA, 297 nt
Filed under: Elaeis guineensis (African oil palm)
Lineage: Eukaryota; Viridiplantae; Streptophyta; Magnoliopsida; Arecales; Arecaceae
Description: long non-coding RNA (EGUI_LNC042125)
Source: RNAcentral